UACGAAGGGGGCUAGCGUUGCUCGGAAUCACUGGGCGUAAAGCGCACGUAGGCGGAUCUUUAAGUCGGGGGUGAAAUCCCGGGGCUCAACCCCGGAACUGCCUUCGAUACUGAGGAUCUUGAGUCCGGGAGAGGUGAGUGGAACUGCGAGUGUAGAGGUGAAAUUCGUAGAUAUUCGGAAGAACACCAGUGGCGAAGGCGACAUACUGGCUCAUUACUGACGCUGAGGCUCGAAAGCGUGGGGAGCAAACAGG
Molecule: ribosomal RNA, 253 nt
Filed under: uncultured bacterium
Lineage: Bacteria
Description: partial 16S ribosomal RNA
Rfam family: Bacterial small subunit ribosomal RNA
Source: RNAcentral